Molecule: long non-coding RNA, 713 nt
Filed under: Manihot esculenta (cassava)
Lineage: Eukaryota; Viridiplantae; Streptophyta; Magnoliopsida; Malpighiales; Euphorbiaceae
Description: long non-coding RNA (MESC_LNC002514)
Source: RNAcentral
UGGCUAAUCAAAUAUUUCAACACAAUCCCCUAAUUUACUAGACCUAAAUAACGCAUGCUAAAAGUAUAAAUAGGCCUAAAAUCCAAGCCCCAAAACCUACAAGAUUACAAUUAGCCAAAUGCCCAACAAAAAUCCUAGUCUGUUGAGAUAAAGGAACUUUGGAUUGCUGCCAAGGCCUUAGACUACAUCAGUAGAGGGAGGCUAUCAAGGUCGCUAAAGAAGAAGAUAAACAUGCCAACUGAAGCACUUAUUGACUAGAUACAGAGCUAGGCUUGCUCACUAUGUAUGAACUACAAAAGCCAACCACACAAAGGAGCACAACCAAAAUCUUCAUUCAAGCCAUGGAAGGGCAUGCAAAUAAUAGGUCAUCAACAAUCUCAGUGCUUUAAGGAUCGAUGGUCCAAGCCAAGAACGAACAAGUAAAAAGCCCUGACAGUCUCUAUAUCAAAGCUUAAACCAUGAAUCUUUCGCACAACCAAAGCAGAUUUACAAGUAAUGGAGGCACAUACAAAUGAAAAUAUUUGAAAAUGAAGCGUCCAAAAAAGGAAAGCCCCCUUUCCUCCCGGAGCAGGCAAGAGCCUAUUCUUAAAGAUUCUUUUGAUGAAGUCCAAAAACCUGCAUGCAAGAACGACAAAACGCAUCCCAAUGUAAUUUCCUCUCAAUGAGCUUAAAUAUGCAAAUAACCCAAUAAAAAAGUUUUAUUGAUUGUAAAC